This 72-nucleotide transfer RNA is filed under the name Anaerolineae bacterium. RNAcentral's name for it is "tRNA-Arg". It matches the Rfam family "tRNA". Rfam says of the family: Transfer RNA (tRNA) molecules are approximately 80 nucleotides in length. Lineage: Bacteria; Bacillati; Chloroflexota; Anaerolineae. The record is from RNAcentral.
GCCCCCGUAGCUCAGUGGAUAGAGCGCUAGCCUCCGGAGCUAGAGACCCGUGUUCGAGUCACGGCGGGGGUA